UACUUAAUAAAAAUGAAAACAAGAUAUUUCAUUAAUGUUUUAUUUUUUAGAGAAUCACUUUAAGCAAUUAAAUAACCAUUUAUCUAAAACACUGGAUAAUUUAUUUCAAAUAUAUUCCAAAUACUUAAACACUGCAUAAAUAUUAAGGUUUAACACACAUCUUUUAAUAAAUUAACCAAAUAUAACUAACAGUUCAGAUAUACUCAAAACACACCACACAAAACUAUCAAGGCUAAUGCUAGAUAUUCCAAAAGUGGUAACAGAAAUGAUUGUGUGCUGUGUAUCUCUAAUUCAAACUUGGACAUGGGCACAAUAAUUUCAUAAAGAUCUCAACAAUGACAGCUUUCAACAUUGAGUAUUUUUUCCAAUUUUACACUAAUUCUUGCAAAGGCAACAUCUGGGGACAACAAUAGAUAUAGACUCACCAAUAUAAUUUGACAGUGGUAAUUUAUCAAUUUACCAAAUAUGCCACUUCCUUUUUUUUUUUGAGACAGAGUUUCGCUCUUGCACCCAGGCUGGAGUGCGAUGGUGCGAUCUCGGCUCACCGCAACCCCUGCCUCCCGGGUUCAAGCGAUUCUCCUGCCUCAGCCUCCCGAGUAGAUGGGAUUACAGACCUGGGCCACCACACCCGGCUAAUUUUGUAUUUUUAGUAGAGAUGGGGUUUCUCCAUGUGGGUCAGGCCGGUCUUCAACUCCUGACCUCAAGUGAUCUGCCUGCCUUGGCCUCCCAAAGUGCUGGGAUUACAGACGUGAGCCACUGGACCCGGCCGCAUUUUUUUUUUUUUUUUUUAAUUGAGACUGAGUCUCACUCUAUUGCCCAGGCUGGAGAAUAGUAGCACAAUCUCGGCUCACUGCAACAUCCCUCUCUCAGGUUCAACCGAUUCUCCUGCCUCAGCCUCCCAAGUAGCUGGGAUUACAGGUGCCCACCACCAUGCCCGGCUAAUUUCUGUAUUUGCAGUAGAGACAGGGUUUCACCAUGUUGGCCAGGCUGGUCUCAAACUCCUGACCUCAAGUGAUUCUCCUGCCUAAGCCUCCCAAACUAAUGGGACUACAGGUGUAAGCCAACACACCUGGUUCAAAUAUGCCACUUUCUUAAAUAUCAAAUUUUUUUCCAAUCUUAUAUUUCUCUAAUUUUAUAGGGGCAGGUGAUAAAAAAAUUUCAAUUUCACUAACUCUGACUACAAAAUUAAACUUUUCCAACAUUUAAGAUCAUUUCAAGGAAAAUAAGAAUAGGCUUUAAUAUUUACAUUAGUGAUUGAUUAAUUGUAGCUGACUGGGGUAUUCAAUUUUAGAAAUUUAAGAUAAUUCCCGCCAGGUGCAGUGGCUCACACCUGCAAUCCCAGCACUUUGGGAGGCCGAGGCAGGCAGAUCACGAGGUCAGGAGUUUGAGACCAGCCUGACCAACAUGGUGAAACCCCGUCUAUACUAUACAAAAAAAUUAGCCAGGUGUGGUGGAAGGCACCUGUAAUCCCAGCUAAUGGAGAGGCUGAGGAAGGAGAAUCACUUGAACCCAGCAGGCAGAGGGUGCAGGGAGUCAUGCCACUGCACUCCAGCCUGGGCGACAGAGCAAGACUCCAUCUCAAAAAAAAAAAAAAAAAGAAAUUUAAGAUAACUCCCUAAGGAUUGUACCUGUACCUUGUGCAUUUCAGUCAUGCCAUUUAAUCAUUAUUCUUCACAUAAAAUUGUUAUAAAGUUAUAUUGUCUAUAUUGACAAUAAAAAACUAUUAAACUGUAGCAACCUUUUUCUAAAUGAGUCAAGACUUCUUAUGAGCUAUGCAAAUUAAUAUUGCUGAUAUUUAAAUAUGAUCUCUUUCAUUACACAUUUGGGCAAAAUUUUUUUAGAGUAAAGGUGAUUAGUCAUAGAACUUUCUUUCUUUUUCUUUCCUUUUUAAUUAAAAAUAGAGAUGCAGUCUCCCUGGUCUCGAUCUCCUGAGCUCAAGCAAUACUCCUACCUUGGCAUCCCAAAGUGUUGGGAUUAAAGGUAUGAGCCACUACACCCAGCCCAUAGACUUUUCAUUUACUAUAUAAAGUCUUUUUCUCCUACAAAAUAUCCAUUCUCCUUCCCCAAAAUAAACAAGGCUCCUUAAAGGCAAUCUUUAUAAUCCAUAGUCAAAUAAAAGUUUUUAUUCACUUAAGCAGGAGGGAAUGAGUUCAGCACAUUAAUUAGUCUGCCCUGCUAUAAGACCUGCCUCUUCCAAAACAGAAUUCCAAUAAGGAAAAUAAGCUAUCCAUGCUGAUUCUACCUUGCUAGCAAAUUGGGGAAGUAACAUGAAGACUCUAAUAGUGGUUUGACUGGUAGAAAAUGAAAGAGCUCUCAGUCCCAAACCAAAUGGUGAUUACAUAAAAAAUUUGGCAUUGUCAAAUCAGGCAGAUACAAUCUAAAGUAAAAAGAGCCAGCAGCGGUGGCUCACCCUGCAAUAGGUAUUCAAAAUCCUCCCUAAGAGAAAAUAAUUGUGCCUCGCUAUCUACCAAAGACAUUGGUUAAAAAAAAGUCUCAGCAGUUACAAUGUACAGUAUCACCUUCCCUUCUGUAACCAAAAUACUUAUUAAAUAUAUGAAUGCUAGUUAUCAGAUUAUUUUAAAAGUUUAUUUUCUUUCUCUAAUAAUAAGGUAAAAUACAUUUUGGAAAUCUGCAUGGAAUGUUCCCAACAAGUUAUUUCAUUUUAGCAGGGUCUAUGACAUACAGCUUUAGUCAUUCUUUCAAUUACUUGGAACCACAGAAUUCUCCAAAAUACAAAAAUUAAAUUUUCAGCUUUUAUAUCAAAUAAUGGUCUCAACCAUUUAAUACAAAGCAACAUACUUUCUCAGGUUUCUGUUAAUAAGGCAAAAUAAAAGUCACUCAGAAAAAAAAGGUUAAAUCAUGAAGAUUUCUCUUUUGUAGGAUAUAAUUCACCCCUGUGGUUUCUCUUCUACCAUUAAUGUCUUAUCUACUCUAAUUCCUUCAAAGUUUCAAGUUCAAUACAGUAUAACAUAUGCAGAGAUUUUAUAGUUUUUAUCAUAGAUUUUUUUUUUCAACAUUGUUUUCAGGAUGUUUUAAACACUUUCACAACUAUUACCUCAGAUUUGUGAUUAUGGCUUAUAGUACGGUCUACUUUCAAAACCAUGAUUUUUGGAUCAUGGCCCAUCCAAGAUUUUACUCUGUUCAGAAAAAGAAAAAAAAUUACAUAUCCAGAGUUUCACAAGCAAUUCAGGGGUUUUUCCCACAGACAUCAAAAACCUUGCAAUAAAGGGGUGAAAUCCAAAAAUUACUUUCGAUUUCAAAGGUUUAAUAUUUUUAAAAAAUUGAGAAAUCUAUUUAAGGUGUUGAAUAAACUUUUUAUGACUUAUCAGGCAAAAUUAAAAUAUUUAUCAUGGGCAGGGCACGGUGGCUUACACCUGUAAUCCCAGCAUUUUGAGAGGUCAAGGCUGGACGACUGCUUGAAGCUAUGAGAUUGGGACUAGCCUGGAAAAUAUAGCGGACCCCACCUCUAUAAAAAAUUAUUAUUUUUUAUUAGCUGGGCAUAGUGCUGUGUGCCUGUAGUCCUAGCUACCAGAGAGGCUGAGGUGGAAAGAUCCUUUUUUGUUGUUGAGACAGGGUCUCACUCUGUCACCCAGACAGGAAUGUAGUACCACAAUCACUGCUUACUGAAGCCUUGACCUCCUGGGUUCAAGUAACCCUCCCGCCUAAGCUUCCCAAGUAGCUGGGACUACUGGUGUGUACCACCAUGCCUGGAUAAUUAAAAAAAAAAAAGAAGUCAUAAAGACAGGUUCUUAUUAUAUUGACCAGGUUGGUCUUGAACUCUUGACCUCAAGUGAUCCUCCUGCCUUGGCCUCCUAAAGUGUUGUGAUUACAGGUGUGAGCCACAGCAUCCAGCCUAAGGAAGAUCCCUUGAGCCUAGGAAUUUGAGGCUGCAGUGAGCUAUGAUUGCAUCACUGUACUCCAGCUUGGGCAAAAGUGAGACCAUGUCUCUAAAAAAUAAUAAUAAAAUAAAAUAAAGUAUUUACAAUGGAAGGAAUCUGUGGUGUUACUUUUAGGUAAUCUCAGAAGAACUUUUCAAACUCAGAUGUAUAUAUGCGGCAACCAAUGUGCAUAUGGAGAUACUGACAUAGAGAGAAAAAUGUUCAAUCUAAUAUUAGCCAGUAAACAUAUGAUGCAUUAACUGGAGGAGUUAAAAGUCCAUACUUGAAGGUACUGUUUAAUUUAUCAGGAUCAAUCAAUCAAGAAAAACACCCACAACAUAAAAACAGGGUGGUAUAUUUUAGUACUACUGAUUUAUAAUAAACAGAUCCUCAGAUUUAGGCAGAUCAUUUUUAAAUGCCAUUAGUGAUCAAUGUAUGCAACACAGUUGCACAUAGCUAUUAACAAGUUAUUUUGACAUGCAUUACAUACAUGUAUUCAAAUUAACUAUAAUUUUUUGUGCUUAUUUCUAGAGCAAAUUAAUUAAAUGGCUUUCACCUUAAAGGCUUAAAAUGUUUUAAAACUUCAAGUCAUUAAAGAUGUACUGACAUUAAAACUAUGUUUGAAGGCUGGGCGCAGUGGCUCAUGCCUGUAAUCCCAGCACUUUGGGAGGCCGAGGCGGG
RNAcentral lists this long non-coding RNA (4559 nucleotides) under Homo sapiens (human). RNAcentral describes it as "HSALNT0062682". Lineage: Eukaryota; Metazoa; Chordata; Mammalia; Primates; Hominidae. The record is from RNAcentral.